CCAAAAUGCAGCUAAACUAGUUCUCUCAUUUGCUAAUGACAACUUUGCCAGUGGAAGUUGUUGACUUUUGACUGUUUGCCCUUAAUGCUUUGUCUGUCAUUUGUGGAUGUAAGACUCCCAACAGCCAUGCUUGUUCACCUCUCUCCUUUGUUGAAUAUGAAGGGAAACUGAACAGUCUCACAGCGUGCCAUCAGUGUUAACUCAGAGCAUUUUAAAUCUUUAAUGUGAACAAACUGUGUAAGUCUCCCAUUCACUUGAUUUAAUACUUAAUAGGCUACCGUUCUCCAACCA
This 291-nucleotide long non-coding RNA is filed under the name Bos taurus (domestic cattle). Its description in RNAcentral is "long non-coding RNA NONBTAT011902". The record is from RNAcentral. Lineage: Eukaryota; Metazoa; Chordata; Mammalia; Artiodactyla; Bovidae.